CUUGGUCAUUUAGAGGAAGUGAAAGUCGUAACAAGGUCUCCGUUGGUGAACCAGCGGAGGGAUCAUUACCGAGUUUACAACUCCCAAACCCCUGUGAACAUACCACUUGUUGCCUCGGCGGAUCAGCCCGCUCCCGGUAAAACGGGACGGCCCGCCAGAGGACCCCUAAACUCUGUUUCUAUAUGUAACUUCUGAGUAAAACCAUAAAUAAAUCAAAACUUUCAACAACGGAUCUCUUGGUUCUGGCAUCGAUGAAGAACGCAACAAAAUGCGAUAAGUAAUGUGAAUUGCAGAAUUCAGUGAAUCAUCGAAUCUUUGAACGCACAUUGCGCCCGCCAGUAUUCUGGCGGGCAUGCCUGUUCGAGCGUCAUUUCAACCCUCAAGCACAGCUUGGUGUUGGGACUCGCGUUAAUUCGCGUUCCUCAAAUUGAUUGGCGGUCACGUCGAGCUUCCAUAGCGUAGUAGUAAAACCCUCGUUACUGGUAAUCGUCGCGGCCACGCCGUUAAACCCCAACUUCUGAAUGUUGACCUCGGAUCAGGUAGGAAUACCCGCUGAACUUAAGCAUAUCAAUAAGCGGAGGA
RNAcentral lists this ribosomal RNA (582 nucleotides) under Fusarium oxysporum. RNAcentral's name for it is "eukaryotic LSU rRNA". The stretch from base 217 to 370 matches the Rfam family "5.8S ribosomal RNA". The record is from RNAcentral. Lineage: Eukaryota; Fungi; Ascomycota; Sordariomycetes; Hypocreales; Nectriaceae.